Molecule: long non-coding RNA, 2441 nt
Filed under: Oncorhynchus kisutch (coho salmon)
Lineage: Eukaryota; Metazoa; Chordata; Actinopteri; Salmoniformes; Salmonidae
Description: lncRNA (ENSOKIG00005029820.1)
Source: RNAcentral
CUGCUAAGUACAUUAAUAUCCAAUUCACCUGAUCGCUGAACCUGAAGUGUUCCUCCCAAAUGUCUGCAACUUUUGAAAGCGUGCCCAAUUACUGCAAAUAUUAAAAUACUUUACAUUGUUAAAUUGUAAUGAUCUAGACGGGACUGGUUACUGUGUGUUAGUGCAAAGGCCUCUCCUUUUCUCAUUCAAGAUGACAGCAUGUGAUUGAAUGUUUGACAUUCUUUUGAAACAGGGAACCCUUUCAUUAGUCUCAAUGAGUAACUGUUGGGAGGCUCCUAUAACUCUAAUUCAUCCAUUGGUUCUUUAAAUAAACAAUUGCUACACAAUGUAUUUCUGAAACUCGCUAAAUCUGACUUGUAAAGGAAAGAUUACAAUUUGACUUAAUGGCUGAAAAAAAGACAACACAUUUCACAUUAACACAUUCCACUUCCUACUAUGUCCUAAACAUCCGUUUAUAAAGUUCACUAGGCUUCUCUGCUGAUCUUCAUCUCGCUACUAUUUAACAGAGGGGGCAUUUAUUCAAGGACUUCCACUCAUACGCUCAACCCCAAAGCAUAUCUCAAAGGAGAGAUUUAGAGUGUUGUGAAGUGUCUUCAAACAAAUAGGCUGUUCUCAGUUGGUAAUUAACAGCAUCUAAUCCCUACUCUCUUUUCCCUAUCUCUCCAUCUGUUUAUGAAAUGGGAUUGUUAAUUGAUUCCAGUAAGAGGAUGCAGGCAGCUCACCACAGAGGAAACUCGGCUCCAGAGAGGAACUGUACCCCUCCCUCCCACUGCUGAGGAGAACACAAGCCAGCCAGCUAGCAGAAACCUUAAUUCAGGUCAAGCACUGCUCUGCUGUGUUCACACAGCUUCCAGGAAGACACAACUCUGGCCAUAUAAGAGGAGGCAGGCAGCUCACCACAGAGGAAACUCGGCUCCAGAGAGGAACUGUACCCCUCCCUCCCACUGCUGAGGAGAACACAAGCCAGCCAGCUAGCAGAAACCUUAACUCAGGUCAAGCACUGCUCUGCUGUGACACAGACUUGAUAGAGGAUGGAGUAAAUGGAUAAGGCGGAUAUAUUGUAGGUCAUGCUGCUUCCUACUUCCUGUUCUCCCAGGGAAAUCAUGUCUCUGCCUGCUGUGAUGUCUAUAGAGAGGGUCAAAACAACACUGACCUGUUUUUAUUUGGGAUUCCUCUCUUCCAUGUAAAACAACUCAUGUAAAGUCUAUUGUUGGAAGUCAAGUGACCUCGCUCUGUGCUCUGCACAAUCUUGUUUCUUUGAUAUGAUAACGUUAUUUGAUCAGUGUUUUCUUCUAACAUGAAUUGAUUAUUGUUCAAUUUCUUUCAAAUGUAACAUUUACAAUUGCUGUUAUGAACCAUCUUUGUCAUGAUAACACAUAUCCCCACCAACCAAGGUGAUCAUGGUUAUUUUGAAAAUAAAUCCAAAAACCAUUCAAAGAAAAGUACAAAUCCAGCAUCAAAAUUCAGUUGGGCAUAAUAUAUAAUUAGGGUUAGAUUAAAGUAAGGUAGUAACCUGGUGUGAGGUGAUUUUUACAUGUUUAAGUCUGCCCUCUGUUGGUUCAACAAUAUAUUGCUAUAAUGCAAUGUGUACAAUUGACAAGGUGCACCAUUCAAUGAUGAUGACAUAUUCAUAAUGUAGCUGUUUCAAUCUAGAAUAACAAAAUUAACAGUGUCAGUAAACUAGGAAUCAUAUUUAUUUAGAAUUUGACAAAGAUUUACAGAAUCAGUCCUUUGGUGGAAAAAGUGGGACAAUAUAUUAGAUGCAAUUUGAAUAGCAACAGAAAUGUAUAUUAUCUAUACAAAACCCAAUUUCAACAGUGAAUGUAUCACAUAUCCCAUAGAAAUCCAUGGAAAUGUAGACAAUCUAGACAAUGUUGCAGAUGUAAAGCCCUUUGCUGAAUAACAAGUAACUUAAUUUUGACCAUACAGCUCAAACAACUUCACAUCUGGAGAUCUGGAGAAGGUGAAGAUGUGUGGUGUGAAUUGGAGAGCUUCAGAUGUUGUGUGUGUGUAACAGAUGGUGGCAGUCUUACGGUAGACUAACAGAGCAGGCGGAGUGAGCACAGAUCUCACAAGGAUCUGGAGGCGUGAUGGCAUCCGCUGGAGAGAGACAGCAAACACAUAAGGUUUCGGUGCCGUUUGAGAAGUGUAACUUGGUAAAAAAGAAAGAAAAAUAAUGUCACUUAAUUUUAACAUUCUGUCUUAAAGAGCACAUGUUCAACAUCAUCUCAUAAGGUUAAAUAAAAUGACUGUAGUAAGUGCCUAUUAAGUGACAAAUAAAGUAACAGGGUUGACCGUAACAGGGUUGACCGUAACAGGGUUGAUGAUUUCAUCUUAAAUCAGCCAUAAAUUCCCUUGUGACAGGGGGAAUGGAAGCUUGUUUUGUGCAACAUGGGAGGCAAUUGAAUGCAAGCUUCACAAAAACAUUUUAAUUGCUAAAA